UAUUAAAAAUUUCAUCCAUUUUUACUAUUAAAAAUUGACAUGGCUGACAAAAUAACCAAACAGUUACACGUGACAUGCCAUUUGUAUCUCAUUCUAACAUACAAGCACCAGUUUUUAACAAUAGAAAUUUGCUUUUUGAUC
This is a non-coding RNA of Gossypium arboreum, 141 nucleotides long. NCBI's taxonomy places the organism in Eukaryota, Viridiplantae, Streptophyta, Magnoliopsida, Malvales, Malvaceae. The record is from Rfam.